AUACGGAGGGUGCGAGCGUUAAUCGGAAUUACUGGGCGUAAAGCGCGCGUAGGCGGAUAAUUAAGUCAGAUGUGAAAUCCCCGGGCUCAACCUGGGAACUGCAUUUGAUACUGAUUAACUAGAGUAUGGUAGAGGUGAGUGGAUUUUCCGGUGUAGCGGUGAAAUGCGUAGAGAUCGGAAGGAACACCAGUGGCGAAGGCGACUCACUGGGCCAUUACUGGCGCUGAGGUGCGAAAGCGUGGGUAGCAAACAGGAUUAGAAACCCUUGUAGUCC
Molecule: ribosomal RNA, 274 nt
Filed under: uncultured bacterium
Lineage: Bacteria
Description: partial 16S ribosomal RNA
Rfam family: Bacterial small subunit ribosomal RNA
Source: RNAcentral